CAUAUUCAAAGGCAUCAGUCUGAAAUUAUUGGCAAUGGAACAACUCUUGCAGCAACAUCCAGACUUGCAGGGAAAAGUGGUCCUCGUCCAGAUUGUGAACCCUGCACGAGGAUCAGGGAAAGAUGUGCAAGAAGCAAAGCGGGAGACAUAUUUUACUGCCAAAAGAAUCAAUGAAGUUUAUGGUUCACCUGAAUAUGAGCCAGUGAUUCUGAUUGACCGUCCUGUUCCUCGUUAUGAGAAGACUGCUUAUUAUGCUUUAGCAGAAUGUUGCAUAGUGAAUGCAGUGAGGGAUGGGAUGAAUUUGGUGCCUUACAAAUAUAUUGUUUGCAGGCAGGGAACCCCAUAUAUGGACAAAGCCAUGGGCAUAACAUCAGUUUCUCCUCGCACAAGCAUGCUUGUUGUGUCAGAGUUCAUUGGUUGCUCACCUUCUUUAAGUGGAGCAAUUAGGGUAAACCCGUGGGACAUUGAUGCUGUUGCUGAUUCCUUGAACGUGGCAAUCACUAUGCAUGAAUCUGAGAAGCAGUUGCGCCAUGAAAAGCAUUACCGUUAUGUCAGCACUCAUGAUGUGGCUUAUUGGGCACGCAGCUUUAUGCAGGAUUUGGAGAGAGCUUGCCAAGAUCAUUAUAAUAAAAGGUGUUGGGGAAUUGG
Molecule: unclassified non-coding RNA, 648 nt
Filed under: Hevea brasiliensis (rubber tree)
Lineage: Eukaryota; Viridiplantae; Streptophyta; Magnoliopsida; Malpighiales; Euphorbiaceae
Source: RNAcentral